AUUGAACGCUGGCGGCAUGCCUUACACAUGCAAGUCGAACGGCAGCACGGGGGGUAACCCCUGGUGGCGAGUGGCGAACGGGUGAGUAAUAUAUCGGAACGUGUCCUGUAGCGGGGGAUAACCUAUCGAAAGAUGGACUAAUACCGCAUACGACCUACGGGCGAAAGCGGAGGACCGCAAGGCUUCGCACUAUAGGAGCGGCCGAUAUCGGAUUAGCUAGUUGGCGGGGUAACGGCCCACCAAGGCGACGAUCCGUAGCUGGUCUGAGAGGACGAUCAGCCACACUGGAACUGAGACACGGUCCAGACUCCUACGGGAGGCAGCAGUGGGGAAUUUUGGACAAUGGGCGCAAGCCUGAUCCAGCCAUGCCGCGUGAGUGAAGAAGGCCUUCGGGUUGUAAAGCUCUUUCGGCGGGGACGAAACGGUUCGUGCUAAUACCACGGACUACUGACGGUACCCGCAGAAGAAGCACCGGCUAACUACGUG
This 486-nucleotide ribosomal RNA is filed under the name uncultured bacterium. RNAcentral describes it as "partial 16S ribosomal RNA". It matches the Rfam family "Bacterial small subunit ribosomal RNA", at positions 29 to 507 of the family's 1533-position model. The record is from RNAcentral.